Molecule: long non-coding RNA, 476 nt
Filed under: Mytilus galloprovincialis (Mediterranean mussel)
Lineage: Eukaryota; Metazoa; Mollusca; Bivalvia; Mytilida; Mytilidae
Source: RNAcentral
UUUUCCUUUAAUUUAGAUAUCUUUAAUGCACCUAUAUUUAAUUUACUUAUAAAACCACAGUUAUUCGAUGAUACACUUUCGUUUAAAUGUUUGAAAGAAAGACGAUGAACAUAAUAUUUGCACAAGUAUAUAUAUAUAUAUAUAUAUCAUGAACUAAAGGGUAUUACUAAAUUCUUAAAUUGAAAAUAGUUACUGAACAUACAGAGGGGGGCAUUAAAAAAUGUGUUAAGAAAAUCAGAAAAAAAAUAAAAAAUAUAUGAAAAAUAAAACAACAGUAAACAUACAACUCUAUACAGAAAAUUUGAGCCUGAGAAACAACCAACUCAAACAAAAAUGGGUGCUCUCAUGAGCUCUGAAAGGGUUAGCAGAUUAUGGUUCACUAGUGGCACCUGUGAUGUUUUCCUCAAAUUAACAUUCGAUGAUAAGUCUCAUACGUUGAUGUGAAAAGAAAAGUUUUAACAAACGUAUUAGUUACC